UACGAAGGGUGCAAGCGUUACUCGGAAUUACUGGGCGUAAAGCGUGCGUAGGUGGUUUGUUAAGUCUGCUGUGAAAGCCCCGGGCUCAACCCUGGGAAUGGCAGUGGAUACUGGCAAGCUAGAGUGCGGUAGAGGGUAGUGGAAUUCCCGGUGUAGCGGUGAAAUGACGUAGAGAUCGGGAGGAACACCAGUGGCGAAGGCGGCUACCUGGACCAGCACUGACACUCAGGCACGAAAGCGUGGGGGAGC
RNAcentral lists this ribosomal RNA (249 nucleotides) under uncultured bacterium. Its description in RNAcentral is "partial 16S ribosomal RNA". It matches the Rfam family "Bacterial small subunit ribosomal RNA", at positions 524 to 769 of the family's 1533-position model. The record is from RNAcentral.